ACGCGAACAGGAAAUGGCAGUCAUCAAGGUGAAGAAGGGCGCCUCAUACGUCAUCUACUGGAUACUGGAUAUGACGUCAGGGAAAGACCUUUCGUCCAAGAUGGCGGACCAGUUCUCUUCAACUUGAGUCUUCAUCUUAUUGCAAUUUCAGAUCUCAACGCCCGGACUCAGAUAUUGUCUGGAAUAUCUUGGUUUCUCGUGGACUGGUACGAUGAUAGGCUGACUUGGGAUCCUAAGGACUAUGCUGGCAUAGGAUCUUUUACUGUCAACAUCGAUCAAACAUGGUCACCAAAAUUAUACCUUCAAAACACUGUUCUUGACGAGCCGGUGAACCCUAUUAAACAUGACGUCAGUCAAACGUAUAUCAGCUAUGACGGACAUGUACAUCUAGAAUCACCAUUGUUACAUCAUACAUCAUGUGACUUAGAUCUUCAGAAGUUUCCAUUUGACGUGCAGGAAUGCGGGUAAAGUUUCGUCGGAUUUAUCUUAUGAAGAAGGGUCCAUUGUGUAAUAACUAUACAUACAUGACUUAUUCAAUGAUAGAUCACUUGGAAACAUUAGUAUUAAGCGUUACAUAAAUGCAACUGUUAUCAUUAUUAUUCUCAUCAUCAUCAUUAGUUGAAG
Molecule: long non-coding RNA, 624 nt
Organism: Strongylocentrotus purpuratus (purple sea urchin)
Lineage: Eukaryota; Metazoa; Echinodermata; Echinoidea; Camarodonta; Strongylocentrotidae
Exons: 4
Source: RefSeq, a predicted model, not a curated record